This 1060-nucleotide ribosomal RNA is filed under the name uncultured Cryobacterium sp. RNAcentral's name for it is "bacterial SSU rRNA". It matches the Rfam family "Bacterial small subunit ribosomal RNA", at positions 337 to 1394 of the family's 1533-position model. The record is from RNAcentral. Lineage: Bacteria; Bacillati; Actinomycetota; Actinomycetes; Micrococcales; Microbacteriaceae.
UCCUACGGGAGGCAGCAGUGGGGAAUAUUGCACAAUGGGCGCAAGCCUGAUGCAGCAACGCCGCGUGAGGGACGAAGGCCUUCGGGUUGUAAACCUCUUUUAGUAGGGAAGAAGCGACUGGGUUUUCCUGGGAGUGACGGUACCUGCAGAAAAAGCACCGGCUAACUACGUGCCAGCAGCCGCGGUAAUACGUAGGGUGCAAGCGUUGUCCGGAAUUAUUGGGCGUAAAGAGCUCGUAGGCGGUUUGUCGCGUCUGCUGUGAAAACCCGAGGCUCAACCUCGGGCCUGCAGUGGGUACGGGCAGACUAGAGUGCGGUAGGGGAGAUUGGAAUUCCUGGUGUAGCGGUGGAAUGCGCAGAUAUCAGGAGGAACACCAAUGGCGAAGGCAGAUCUCUGGGCCGUAACUGACGCUGAGGAGCGAAAGCAUGGGGAGCGAACAGGAUUAGAUACCCUGGUAGUCCAUGCCGUAAACGUUGGGAACUAGAUGUGGGGACCAUUCCACGGUCUCCGUGUCGCAGCUAACGCAUUAAGUUCCCCGCCUGGGGAGUACGGCCGCAAGGCUAAAACUCAAAGGAAUUGACGGGGGCCCGCACAAGCGGCGGAGCAUGCGGAUUAAUUCGAUGCAAACGCGAAGAACCUUACCAAGGCUUGACAUAUACCGGAAACGGCUGGAAACAGUCGCCCCCGCAAGGUCGGUAUACAGGUGGUGCAUGGUUGUCGUCAGCUCGUGUCGUGAGAUGUUGGGUUGAGUCCCGCAACGAGCGCAACCCUCGUCCUAUGUUGCCAGCACGUAAUGGUGGGAACUCAUGGGAUACUGCCGGGGUCAACUCGGAGGAAGGUGGGGAUGACGUCAAAUCAUCAUGCCCCUUAUGUCUUGGGCUUCACGCAUGCUACAAUGGCCGGUACAAAGGGCUGCGAUACCGCAAGGUGGAGCGAAUCCCAAAAAGCCGGUCUCAGUUCGGAUUGUGGUCUGCAACUCGACCUCAUGAAGUCGGAGUCGCUAGUAAUCGCAGAUCAGCAACGCUGCGGUGAAUACGUUCCCGGGCCUUGACACACCGCC